UUUGUGGAAUUGAUAAUCAGCGUGGUAACACACCUCGCUAGCUAAGGGAACACGGUGCGAAACCGUGGCGGGCCCGCCGCUGUGACCGGGGACGCUGCCUGCAUGGUCCAUUACCAACCACUGUGGCGAUAAUCAUCCACGGGAAGGUGCGGGCAAGGCGAAUAAUCCGGGAGUCAGAAGACCUGCCGGCGAGUGAUCCAAUCAA
This 205-nucleotide non-coding RNA is filed under the name Denitratisoma oestradiolicum. Lineage: Bacteria; Pseudomonadati; Pseudomonadota; Betaproteobacteria; Nitrosomonadales; Sterolibacteriaceae. The record is from RNAcentral.